GGCCUCGUAGCUCAGCUGGUAGGGCAUGCGCGUACAAAGCGUAGGCGGUGUCCAUGCCUGGGUUCGAAUCCCACCGAGGCUA
This 82-nucleotide transfer RNA is filed under the name Echinostoma caproni. It matches the Rfam family "tRNA". From Rfam's summary of the family: Transfer RNA (tRNA) molecules are approximately 80 nucleotides in length. Their secondary structure includes four short double-helical elements and three loops (D, anti-codon, and T loops). The record is from Rfam by way of RNAcentral. Lineage: Eukaryota; Metazoa; Platyhelminthes; Trematoda; Plagiorchiida; Echinostomatidae.